RNAcentral lists this ribosomal RNA (561 nucleotides) under uncultured Cortinarius. RNAcentral's name for it is "eukaryotic LSU rRNA". The stretch from base 227 to 380 matches the Rfam family "5.8S ribosomal RNA". The record is from RNAcentral. Lineage: Eukaryota; Fungi; Basidiomycota; Agaricomycetes; Agaricales; Cortinariaceae.
UAGAGGAAGUAAAAGUCGUAACAAGGUUUCCGUAGGUGAACCUGCGGAAGGAUCAUUAUUGAAAUAAACCUGAUGGGUUGUUGCUGGUUCUCUAGGGAGCAUGUGCACACCUUGUCAUCUUUAUGUCUCCACCUGUGCACCUUUUGUAGACCUUUUUCAGGUCUAUGUUGCUUCUUCAUUUACCCCCAUGUAUGUUAAUAGAAUGUUGUGCCUGUAUAAUCUAUACAACUUUCAGCAACGGAUCUCUUGGCUCUCGCAUCGAUGAAGAACGCAGCGAAAUGCGAUAAGUAAUGUGAAUUGCAGAAUUCAGUGAAUCAUCGAAUCUUUGAACGCACCUUGCGCUCCUUGGUAUUCCGAGGAGCAUGCCUGUUUGAGUGUCAUUAAUAUAUAUAUCAACCUUCUCAUUGUUGAGUGGAUUGGAUGUGGGGGGUUUGCUGGCCUCUUUAAUGGGUUCAGCUCCUCUGAAAUGCAUUAGCAGAACAACCUGUUCAUUGGUGUGAUAACUAUCUACGCUAUUGAAUGUGAGGGGCAGUUCAGCUUUCUAACAGUCCUUGGACAAUU